CGCCUUAAUAUUCUCAACUAACUACCAAAACAAAUCGUAGCCGUUCAUCUCACAAAAAUCAUUAAUCGUGACCACCCGAUUCUCAAAGCCCAUUAUAAAAGAAGACGAGGGCUCUGAAAAGAUAAUCAUUCAUUCUUAGCCUCUUCUUUAUAUAUUUCUUCUCAUCGCUUUCUUUCUCUUCAAAUCUCAGAUCUGUUAAGCAUGGCUGGCCUUUCUUGCUUUUCUUCGUCUAAUUCGAUCGGAUCUCGUUUCGAUCUACGUUUUGGAUGUUGUUUCUUAUCGAAUCAAAGAUCUCACGACGUUGGAUAGAUUUGAUUUGAGGUUAUGAAGAUUUGCACGAGGUCUCUACUUGAUUCGAUUUCAAGGCUUCCUUUUCUUAUCUGGAGGCUUGCUUAUUGAUUACGACGGUUUAAUUCUUCAAAUCGUUGAUAUUAUUGGUCAUGCACACCUAAAGCAGAUCUUGCUGUGUAUCCUUCCAUGGAGAUACGUGGUUGAGUCACCUGUUUUACAGCAGACGAUUUUUCGAUCAAAAGUCUUGCUGUUCUUCGUCUUACGACGUUCACGGAGCUGAUCAGAUUCGGAUUUACUUACCAGGAAUGGUGGUUUAUCAUAUUUAGAGAGUUGUAUCAUCUUAUUUUGAUGGCGAUACUGUACGGCAUGUAUUGGUGUUUUAGCAACAAUAUAUUGAGAUGUGCAGGGGGUUUGGGGUGAUUUGGGAUCUGGGUUUUUAGAAGGAUGUAUAAGAUAUCGGCACGGAAGGUUCCAUGCGAGUCCUGAGUUCCGAUUCAUCUUUGUCAUCCGACCUUUGCCAUGACAGGUGCGCUUGCAUGGCAGGUCAAAAAUCUUAAUAAAAAAGAAAUAAUUUUUUGGUUUGGGGAGAAGAUCGCACGGGGUAUUUGCCCGGGGUCUUCUCUCUGGUGUGUGUGCUCUGUGUCCUGCUCUUUUUUUCUUUCUUAUUUUUGUUUACUCGCACUAUGAUUGCCCCACUUUACUACGCAUCGAGACGAAUAGGAUUGAAGCUCGCAUCCACAGAAACGCCAAGCAAAGGUAUAAUUUGCCCAAUUUAAUCUUAUUCAUUUACUUAUUUUGCGCAAGAAAAAACAACGACAAAUCAGUAUGAUUAGGAUCCCCUCGUAGUAAGUACUCAUGCAUAUUUGACUCUAUCGAAUCAGGCCAGAUUUUCAUAAAAUUGCUUAGUUUAUUGAUUGGUAUUUUUAACAAUUGCUUGUAGUUAUGCCAAUUGCUUUAUCUGGAGAUUGCUGAAAACAGUUCUUUCUGAAAGGUAAAUAAGAUACUAUUAAAAUAAGUAGAAAAUAGAAAUUCAUGAUUUAGCUAACAUUAUUUUGCCGAUUUCAUACGAUUUUAAAACACGGCUACGUUAUAAAAAUAAUUUACAUCAUAGGUCUCCCGCACAGGUAAAUUUUUGCAAACCUUUAUGCCUAUAAUUACUGUCUUUAAUCUAAUAAUCAUAUCGAGCCUGCAACUGACCUAUAACUAUGUAUCAAAUACUUUAAAUUAACUGUAAACCAUAUUUUUAAGUGUUCAUAAUUAUCAGUCUUGAAUUCAAUACAAGUUUGUAUCAACGUUUUUGUGUUGCGUUGAAGGUUUUGUAAGUUAUUUUGUAAUAUUUUGGCAACAUGUAGUUGUACAUGCUGGUCUCUUGUAAAUUUUUAGAUCCAUCUAUGGCUGCAAAGUCGAAGUUGUUCGAUAUGAAGCGGUCUCUACCCUAUCCUUGUUUCAGCGAAGUUUGUUCAGAGUAAUGAAGUUUAUUUCCAGUUCUCCAAUUGAGGUGAUAAACGAAUUGAUUUAAGUGGACAAGAUUAUUAUCCCAACCACCUAUAUAUUUAUAAUCGUUAUUACUAAAAGUAGUUUAUUGGUUUAUAUUUUCAUUAUUAAUAUCGAGGGAGGUUUACAGCUGCACUGUUACUUCCAUAUUCAGUAUAUAUUCCAUAUUCAGUAUAUAUUAAUACAGUAUAGUCUAGUUAUUCAUAUAAUUAUAAUAAAGUCUUACAUAUAACAGAAGUUGAAGUUAUACAAAUAUAUAUCAUUCAUUUUUUUUUCAGUAUAGCUUUAUAUUUUAAUUUGUUGCUUUCUAUUUUACCGUAUGUUGUUAUUAUAAUGUUUGCAGAUCUUGUUAGUGCUAUAAUUUCAAUUUCUACUGUAUUGGCUUGAAUGUAUCGAAUGCUUGGCUGUAUGAAGAAGUUUACUGUGCUUAUGAAUUUUAAUUAAUGAAUUAUAUUUAAUUUAUUA
This is a long non-coding RNA of Cannabis sativa, 2250 nucleotides long. RefSeq lists it as uncharacterized. Lineage: Eukaryota; Viridiplantae; Streptophyta; Magnoliopsida; Rosales; Cannabaceae. The transcript is spliced from 3 exons. The record is from RefSeq and is a predicted model, not a curated record.